Molecule: non-coding RNA, 27 nt
Filed under: Homo sapiens (human)
Lineage: Eukaryota; Metazoa; Chordata; Mammalia; Primates; Hominidae
Source: RNAcentral
UGGUGUGUGCACCGUUUCGACCAUCAC